Molecule: ribosomal RNA, 300 nt
Filed under: uncultured Pyrobaculum sp.
Lineage: Archaea; Thermoproteati; Thermoproteota; Thermoprotei; Thermoproteales; Thermoproteaceae
Description: bacterial SSU rRNA
Rfam family: Bacterial small subunit ribosomal RNA
Source: RNAcentral
GUGAAUGCGGGGCCGUGGUGCCUGGGACUCCGUAUGGCGCGGGCGUUGUCCGGAAGUAUUGGGCGUAAAGAGCUCGUCGGAGGCUUGUCGGGUAUGCUGUGAAAACGCGGGGCUUAACUCCGCGCGUGCAGUGGGUACGGGCAGGCUAGAGUGUGGUAGUGGUGACUGGAAUUCCUGGUGUAGCGGUGGAAUGCGCAGAUAUCAGGAGGAACACCGAUGGCGAAGGCAGGUCACUGGGCCAUUACUGACGCUGAGGAGCGAAAGCAUGGGGAGCGAACAGGAUUAGAUACCCUUGUAGUC